RNAcentral lists this ribosomal RNA (468 nucleotides) under uncultured bacterium. RNAcentral's name for it is "partial 16S ribosomal RNA". It matches the Rfam family "Bacterial small subunit ribosomal RNA", at positions 28 to 507 of the family's 1533-position model. The record is from RNAcentral.
GACGAACGCUGGCGGCGUGCUUAACACAUGCAAGUCGAACGGAAAGACGCUGCGUUUGUGGGGUUCUCGUUUGCCGAACGGGGGAGUAACACGUGAGUAACAUGCCCUUGUCUUUGUGAUAACUUCAGGGAACUGGGGCUAAUAUCGGGUAGGAUAUACUGCUGCAUGUGGGGGGUUGGUGAGAUUCGGCGGUGGUGGAUGGAUUCGCGGCUUAUGAGCUGCUUGGUGGGGUAGGGGCGGACCAAGGCUGUGACGGGUAGCCUGCCUGAGAGGGUGGACGGCGACAUUGGGCCUGCGAGACGCCGCAGACUCCUACGGGAGGCAGCAGUGGGGAAUAUUGCGCAACGAGCGGAAGCGUGAUGCAGCAACGCCGCGUGCGGGAUGACGUCCUACGGGUGGAAAACCACUUUCGACUGUGACGAAGCGUGAGUGACGGUAACGGGUAAAGAAGCACCGGCUAACUACGUG